CCUACGGGAGGCAGCAGUAGGGAAUCUUGCGCAAUGGGCGAAAGCCUGACGCAGCCAUGCCGCGUGAAUGAUGAAGGUCUUAGGAUUGUAAAAUUCUUUCACCGGGGACGAUAAUGACGGUACCCGGAGAAGAAGCCCCGGCUAACUUCGUGCCAGCAGCCGCGGUAAUACGAAGGGGGCUAGCGUUGCUCGGAAUUACUGGGCGUAAAGGGAGCGUAGGCGGAUAGUUUAGUCAGAGGUGAAAGCCCAGGGCUCAACCUUGGAACUGCCUUUGAUACUGGCUAUCUUGAGUAUGGGAGAGGUGAGUGGAACUCCGAGUGUAGAGGUGAAAUUCGUAGAUAUUCGGAAGAACACCAGUGGCGAAGGCGACUCACUGGCCCAUUACUGACGCUGAGGCUCGAAAGCGUGGGGAGCAAACAGGAUUAGAUACCCUGGUAGUCCACGCCGUAAACGAUGAGUGCUAGUUGUCGGCAUGCAUGCAUGUCGGUGACGCAGCUAACGCAUUAAGCACUCCGCCUGGGGAGUACGGUCGCAAGAUUAAAACUCAAAGAGUAGUAGACGUGAGAGACGCGACGACGACGACGACGGAGGAGGAGG
RNAcentral lists this ribosomal RNA (597 nucleotides) under uncultured bacterium. Its description in RNAcentral is "bacterial SSU rRNA". It matches the Rfam family "Bacterial small subunit ribosomal RNA", at positions 338 to 1414 of the family's 1533-position model. The record is from RNAcentral.